UUGGGAAAGGUGGGAAGAAGGCAGCUCAUUUCCUUAUCUUCUUUCUGCUCAGACAGAGAGAAGACAUUACAAGAGGGGACAACAUUCCCCCUCCUCAUCCCAUCCCGUCCCAACACUUGUGGCUCUCCGGGCCAGAGGCUCCCAGGACGGUUGAGGCGUUGGGCAACCAAUCGAUCAAUCAGAGGUCUGCAUCCUGCCGGAGGGAGAGCUGGGUUUCCUGCCACCGGACCAUGGGGUCACCCGCCCAGCGAGAGGGCCGGACCUCCGCCAUUGUCUCGGACAUCACCUUCCCACCCCCGAAGUGAGGGUGAGGCUCAGGGGGUGGAGCCAGUAGGCUCAGAAUACAGCAACCAGCCUUUAUUGGGAGUGAGAAGAGGGCAAUGAAGCCACCUUCGUUCAGUCCAGUCUGAUGUCCUCAUAAAAAGGUGGGCUUUUUCUUGUUGUCCCUUUAUAUCCAGAUCAUGGUUCCUUUAAAUCUCCUUUUAUCCAUGUGCUAUUAACUCCCUCUCCCUGUCUGCUGACCCUCCCACCUCUCAGUACAGU
Molecule: long non-coding RNA, 543 nt
Filed under: Ornithorhynchus anatinus (platypus)
Lineage: Eukaryota; Metazoa; Chordata; Mammalia; Monotremata; Ornithorhynchidae
Description: lncRNA (ENSOANG00000040959.1)
Source: RNAcentral